RNAcentral lists this small RNA (528 nucleotides) under Pongo abelii (Sumatran orangutan). RNAcentral describes it as "retained intron". The record is from RNAcentral. Lineage: Eukaryota; Metazoa; Chordata; Mammalia; Primates; Hominidae.
GGGGCCUCGCUUCCGGUAGCCGAGAGUUUUGUUAGAACCGCGUCCCCGCCCCAGUUCCCUGUCUGUGAGCCGAUUUCUCUGCCCAGGGUCGGCGCGCGCGGCUGUCUCAGAACUCAUGCAGCUGUUCCCGCGAGGCCUGUUUGAGGACGCGCUGCCGCCCAUCGUGCUGAGGAGCCAAGUGUACAGCCUCGUGCCUGACAGGACCGUGGCCGACCGGCAGCUGAAGGAGCUUCAAGAGCAGGGGGAGAUCAGAAUCGUCCAGCUGGGCUUCGACUUGGAUGCCCAUGGAAUUAUCUUCACUGAGGACUACAAGACCAGAGUAUGUGACUGUCCUCAAAGCCUGUGAUGGCCGACCGUAUGCUGGGGCAGUGCAGAAAUUUCUAGCUUCAGUACUUCCAGCCUGUGGGGACCUUAGUUUCCAGCAGGACCAAAUGACACAGACCUUUGGCUUCAGGGACUCAGAAAUCACGUGAGACUUGUGGAACCAACAAAGUCAGGCAUCUGGUGCUUCCCUGCCUCCCUCCAGUU